GAAAGAGAGAGAAGAGAGAAGAUAAAGAAGAUAAUAGUGUAGCUAUUAACUGUAGUUAAAAAUUAGAUUCUGCUACUUCUUUAUUGUUCUUUUCCUACUUGUUUC
RNAcentral lists this non-coding RNA (105 nucleotides) under Ditylum brightwellii. The record is from RNAcentral. Lineage: Eukaryota; Bacillariophyta; Thalassiosirophyceae; Lithodesmiales; Lithodesmiaceae.